GAUGAAGAACGUAGCGAAAUGCGAUAAGUAAUGUGAAUUGCAGAAUUCAGUGAAUCAUCGAAUCUUUGAACGCACAUUGCGCCCGCUAGUAUUCUGGCGGGCAUGCCUGUCCGAGCGUCAUUUCAACCCUCAAGCCCCCGGGCUUGGUGUUGGGGAUCGGCGAGCCUCCGCGCCCGCCGUCCCCUAAAUCUAGUGGCGGUCUCGCUGUAGCUUCCUCUGCGUAGUAGCACACCUCGCACUGGGAAACAGCGCGGCCACGCCGUUAAACCCCCAACUUCUGAACGUUUGACCUCGGAUCAGGUAGGAAUACCCGCUGAACUUAAGCAUAUCGAUAAGCGGAGGA
RNAcentral lists this unclassified non-coding RNA (343 nucleotides) under soil metagenome. RNAcentral's name for it is "partial contains 5.8S ribosomal RNA, internal transcribed spacer 2, and large subunit ribosomal RNA". The stretch from base 1 to 120 matches the Rfam family "5.8S ribosomal RNA", at positions 35 to 154 of the family's 154-position model. The record is from RNAcentral.